UGGAGGACUGAGAAGGUUGAGCAGCUUGUGUUGUGCUACUACAACUGGUUAUAACCUCCAAGAGUAACAAACAAACUACACAAAUUUCAUGGCUCUGUCCAAAGCAGAGCUGACAUGUGUGUUUGUGGACAAAAU
This 135-nucleotide small nucleolar RNA is filed under the name Sparus aurata (gilthead seabream). RNAcentral's name for it is "Small nucleolar RNA SNORA47 (ENSSAUG00010013727.1)". It matches the Rfam family "Small nucleolar RNA SNORA47". The record is from Rfam by way of RNAcentral. Lineage: Eukaryota; Metazoa; Chordata; Actinopteri; Spariformes; Sparidae.